AGCGAACGCUGGCGGCAGGCCUAACACAUGCAAGUCGAACGAACUCUUCGGAGUUAGUGGCGGACGGGUGUGUAACACGUGGGAACGUGCCUUUUGGUUCGGAAUAACUCAGGGAAACUUGUUCUAAUACCGAAUGUGCCCUUCGGGGGAAAGAUUUAUCGCCAUUAGAGCGGCCCGCGUCUGAUUAGCUAGUUGGUGAGGUAACGGCUCACCAAGGCGACGAUCAGUAGCUGGUCUGAGAGGAUGACCAGCCACACUGGGACUGAGACACGGCCCAGACUCCUACGGGAGGCAGCAGUGGGGAAUCUUGCGCAAGGGGCGAAAGUCUGACGCAGCCAUGCCGCGUGAAUGAUGAAGGUCGUAGGAUUGUAAAAUUCUUUCACCGGGGACGAUAAUGACGGUACCCGGAGAAGAAGCCCCGGCUAACUUCGUG
Molecule: ribosomal RNA, 433 nt
Filed under: uncultured bacterium
Lineage: Bacteria
Description: partial 16S ribosomal RNA
Rfam family: Bacterial small subunit ribosomal RNA
Source: RNAcentral